UACGAACUGUGCAAACGUUAUUCGGAAUCACUGGGCUUACAGGGUGCGUAGGCGGCCAGACAAGUAGGGUGUGAAAGCCCCCGGCUUAACCGGGGAAUGGCGCCCUAAACUGUAUGGCUGGAGUGAGAUAGGGGUGUGCGGAACUUCCGGUGGAGCGGUGAAAUGUGUUGAUAUCGGAAGGAACGCCGGUGGCGAAGGCGGCAUCCUGGACCAAUACUGACGCUGAGGAGCGAAAGCCAGGGGAGCAAACGGG
This 253-nucleotide ribosomal RNA is filed under the name uncultured bacterium. RNAcentral describes it as "partial 16S ribosomal RNA". It matches the Rfam family "Bacterial small subunit ribosomal RNA", at positions 524 to 776 of the family's 1533-position model. The record is from RNAcentral.